CCCUAAAUGGUUGUUUUGACAGUAUUCACAUUUCUUUAGUGUUUUUGAUCAACAUUUUAAUAUAAGUUGGGGGAUUUCUGGUAAAGCAUCAAAUUUAUUAGAAAAUACAACUAAUUAAGCCAUUAAUAAAUUAAAUAGAGUAUUUUUAAAAAUUAAAAGUUUCCUAAACUUAAAAACCUCCAGUCGCUUCUACCACGACCUGUGUGACUGAGAACCUACACAGACAUGUCUCCUGAGGUCAAUGCAACUCAUAAAACUGUUGUUGCAUUUGUAUGCAAGAGAUCAGCACAAUGUACCACAGGGACAGACAUUUCAAUAAUAAAAAAAGAAACCUUCCUUCAGUUAUAAAAACAGCAGUUAUUCUGACAGGAGGAGCCAGACUGUAGAUGAAGCCUCCUCCCUCCUCUUUAGGAACAGGCCAACAGGGAUUUUUAAGCUGUAAAACAGAAGCCACAAGACUGUUGGAUUACGUCUGAAGUCAGGAUCUUGAAGUUUCAGCAUGAUGAGUCGUGCGCAGAGCUUCAUAGACGGUGAAGCUCCUGACUCUCGGCAUGAAAAAUCAAACAGAGGGUCAAAGGUCACCACAGAGAGAGUGGCACUGGUGGUUCUCUGUAUCCUGCUGGCAGCUGCUCUCAUCGUUAUUUAUCGUCUCUCAUUUGACAAAAUUAGAACGAACAAACAGCUCGAAAACCUGGAACAUCACAAAAUGAAGUGUGAAAGUAAUC
Long non-coding RNA from Pundamilia nyererei, 725 nucleotides. RefSeq lists it as uncharacterized. The record is from RefSeq and is a predicted model, not a curated record. The transcript is spliced from 4 exons. Lineage: Eukaryota; Metazoa; Chordata; Actinopteri; Cichliformes; Cichlidae.